UACUAGUCAAGUUCAUUAACCACUGAGCCAUGACGGGAAUUCCUGUUGCUGGAAAGGUUGGGUUAGUAAGUGUGAAAAUGCUUGAACAAGUACAGAAGAGCCGUUAUUAUUGGCUGCAAUCAUUCCUAAGCUGCAAUGAUUACUGCGUUAGGUAAGAGGGCUUCCCAAGGGGAGGGACAUCCUGGAGGGUGCGGGGGGCUGGAGCUCAGGAGCAAGGUCUGGGUCGGUGAUGAGUCUGGAAACCAUUGGUUGAGAUCCGAUGGGAGCAUGAGGAGAAAGGAGAAAAAUGGACCUGGGCUGGGUCCCAGGGAAGCGCCCGUGUUGGCGAAAAGGCAGCCUGGAGAGGAGCGUGAUCCAGAUCACAGGCUGCUGUCAAGUCACACAGAGCGAGGGACGAAAUGAGGAAGUCUCCCGAUCUGCCUACAGAAGCUGUUGGUGACCCUGGAGUGUGCCAAGCCAGGGGGCAGGGGAGGGGCCGGGGCAGCAAUGCCACCUGGUGCCGAGCGGCCCAGAGGAGACCUCGGAUACGGCGUGGCUGGAGGAGAGCCCUGGAAUUGCUGGUGAGGAAGAAUAUUUGCGAGAGCGAGGACGUGGGUUCCGCGCCUGAUGGCUGGACGAGGUCAGGAUACUGGAAGGGGAAGACUCCAUCUCUUCUCUGAAGCCACUCAACAGACUUCCAGGAUGCUUCGGAGCAAAGCCAAGACAUGUUAAGUCUUGUACGGAAAGCCUGCGGGACAGGAAGUGCCCCCUGAGGCCCUUACCUCGACCCCUCCAGCUGGACCACGCUCUGCCCGAAGCCAUUUGCAUUUUCCUGGAAGACGACUGCAUUUUCCGUGUCCAGGUUGAACCCAUGACUUAAGGCCAAGGCUGGAAGGAGAACAAGGGGGUGGGAGUCAGGAAGAGAUACGGAGACAAGUUAAGAAAGCCCUCCUGCCCCGAGCAUCUUCCUGCCAGGAUUCACCCUAACCCAGCACGGAGAUGGGGGCCUCCAGGGCCAGCCCUUACAGCCUGUAGCAGAGGGCACCACACGUCUGUCUGUCUGUCUGUCUGUCUGUCUGUCUGUCUUCCUUUCUUUCUUUCAUUUUGCCACACCAUAUGAGAGUGCUGGGGCCAGGGAUCAAAUCCGAGCCACAGCUCCAACCUAGCCUACGGCAACACCAGAUCCUUAACCCACUUCACCUCCGAGGGAACUCCCACACGUGUUGUAUAAAUGACCAGAGAGUAAAUAUUUCGGGCCUUGUGAACCAAGAGAAUCUCUUGCAUGGAUACUUAAUAUAAAAAAGAGGAAAUAUUUUCCCAUAAAUUUUUCCAUUAAGGAAACUCAAAAUAUAACAUUCAAGUACCAUUGUAAAAUAAAUUAACUGAUGAGACCAACGAAAUUCUUUGGGAUAGAUAACAUUUCACGCCACCAGGAUAAAAUUAGUGUCCCUGUCAUGAAUAGAUUCUAAAUGUUCACCUGGGACCUAUGGCUCCAAGUUGUACAAAAACACAUGCCACUGUGUCCUGGCCUUAUGCCCACAGUCUACAGCUUGCCAACUCCUGGCCUAAGCACCACCAGCGUGGGAUGUAAUGGAAAAAAAUUUCCCGUACUGAGGUAUAGGGAAGUCAUUCUGGCUUAUACAUGAUUUAACUUGAAUUUUACACUAAAACAGCCUGUUUGUAGCCUGUCAAACAUACAUUGUGCAUUUGCUUUAAUCAUGAAAGAAAAAGGUUCAUUGUCCAAGAGAACAGUGUGCCCAUGUUAAAAACAAAGAUGAAAUGCUUCCCUUCCUGGGACUCAAAUGCUGGUAUUCCUUCAAUGAUAAAACUCCCUGGGAGUUCCCACUGUGGUGCAACAGGAUUGGUGGCAUCUUGGGAGCGCUGGGACAACGGUUCAAUCCCCGGCCCGGCACAGAGGCUUAAUUUAAGGAUCCAGCGUAGCCGCAGCUGCAGCACAGGUUACAACUCUGGCUCAGAUCUGAUCCCUGGCCCAGAAACUCCAUAUGCCACAGGGUGGCCAAAAAUGACAAAAAAAUAAAGAAAGAAAGAAAGAAAAAAAAAAAAAAAAAGACUCCCUUCCCCAGGGCCAAGGCCAUACUGACUCACUUAUGUACCUGUGGAUCUGUUUCGUGUUUUCUUUUUUCUUUUUUGAAAUCCUGAAGAAAUGUCUCCCUGACUUGUUUAAUGUUCUUUGUUCUGACAUGAUAUAAAACUGUGCUGAAGGGGAGUUCCCUUCCUGGUGCAGCAGAAAUGACUCCGACUAGAAUCCAUCAGGAUGUGGGUUCAAUCCUUGGCCUCGCUCAGUGGGUUAAGGACCCAGUGUUGCCAUGAGAUGUGGUGUAGGUCGCAGAUAUGACUCGGAUCUGCCAUUUCUGUGGCUGUGGUGUACCCCAGCAGCUGUAGCUCUGAUCUGACCCCUAGCCUGCGAACUUCCAAGUGCCGUGGGUGCGGCCCUAAAAAACAAAACAAAACAAAACAAAACAAACAAAAACAAAACUGCUGAAGAUCUUGCUUCUCUGGAACAGUUCCUCAGAGGUCUCUGAGGGGCUGCCUCUUAGGCUAUGUCCUCAGUUUGGCUCAAAAAAAAAAAAAAAAACUUCUUUUCUAUUCCUAUUAUA
RNA transcript from Sus scrofa (pig), 2597 nucleotides. RefSeq lists it as uncharacterized. Lineage: Eukaryota; Metazoa; Chordata; Mammalia; Artiodactyla; Suidae. The record is from RefSeq and is a predicted model, not a curated record.